RNAcentral lists this non-coding RNA (108 nucleotides) under human gut metagenome. RNAcentral's name for it is "FMN riboswitch (RFN element)". It matches the Rfam family "FMN riboswitch aptamer (RFN element)". From Rfam's summary of the family: The RFN element is a highly conserved domain that is found frequently in the 5'-untranslated regions of prokaryotic mRNAs that encode for flavin mononucleotide (FMN) biosynthesis and transport proteins. This element is a metabolite-dependent riboswitch that directly binds FMN in the absence of proteins. In Bacillus subtilis, the riboswitch most likely controls gene expression by causing premature transcription termination within the 5' untranslated region of the ribDEAHT operon and precluding access to the ribosome-binding site of ypaA mRNA. The record is from RNAcentral.
UAUCUUCAGGGCAGGGUGAAAUUCCCGACCGGUGGUAAAGUCCACGAGCGUUUAGCUGAUUUGGUGAAAUUCCAAAACCGAUAGUAAAAGUCUAGAUGAAAGAGGAUU